UACUCUACAACGUGCUUUUAGAAGUUAAUUUUUUUUCUCAAUCCCACCAGUUGUUGUGAUGCCGCCAUUACCAAAACCUCAAAUCUCAAUCCAAUUCCCAAUCGAGAAAUGAAAAUUCGUCGCUCUCAGUUGGUAACAAUUCCCAUUAACUGAUUCACCAUUCGCACUCUCAAUCCAGUUCCAUCGUCGGCGACCACUAGCAUUCAGUCCUUUUUCCGCUUGCUUUUGGUGUAGAUUAGGUUUUUUUUUUAAAUAUCAGAAGGAGCCCAACACAAGUUGUUUCUUCUACCUCCUCUCAUCACUGUCUUGCAGAUUUCAUUCAAAGCAUCAGUUUUUUUUGUAGGUUUUGGAGCUUUUCAUGGCUUCUGUUUAAGCCCCAGCAAAUUGCUACUGAUGUAGCAUUAGUAUAUCUGGCUUCUAAGAUGUUGAAUAUGAACUUUGACUCCUUAAGCAUUUGAUUGGAAUUUCAGAUGCUGCCAGUUGUUCUUCAAGGACUUUUCUGGAAAUCCUAACACUAUUCGCGAGAGAUGAUUGACGAUCUAAGAGAUACGUGGGCGACAUAUUUAAACUACCAAACACAAGACGGUGGAGAUAGAAGACAACGACGGUCAAGUUUGAAUUGUACAUAUUAUUUGAUUUUUUUUAGAAUUUUAGUUUUAGUAUAUAAGAUUAGAUUAUAGAAACUUUGUACUUAAGACAUUAUUGGAAGAAAUUGAUGGUUUUAGAGAAAUUGUUUUCGGAUAUAAAUUAAUGUAACAAAUGCUUUUUUGACAAGAUGAAUAGAGCAAGCAAACAAUUCUGGUUCA
Long non-coding RNA from Beta vulgaris subsp. vulgaris (sugar beet), 806 nucleotides. RefSeq lists it as uncharacterized. The transcript is spliced from 3 exons. The record is from RefSeq and is a predicted model, not a curated record. Lineage: Eukaryota; Viridiplantae; Streptophyta; Magnoliopsida; Caryophyllales; Amaranthaceae.